CUAAUUUAACCGUUCUAUUUGAUUUAUUUUAUUAUUUUUAUUAAAUUGUGGUUUUAUUAUAUAGAACGCAUUUCUUAUUAACCGUUCUAUUUGAUAUGUCCAUAUUUUACACUUGCAAUAUAAAUCGCCCCACUUAAUUACCCGUUCUAUAUGUUUAAUAUUAUUUUUUGAAAAAUAAAAAAGAAAUAAAAAAAUCUAACAUAUGUUACAUAUCAAAAGCCCAAAAUUCUAACCCUAACUCCACAGCCGUCAUUCACUCAUUCUCCAUAACUUCCCCUCUUUAUUCCCCUUCUCUCAUUUCUUCCCUUUUGUGAAAUCCUUACUUCUUUCCCUGCACCUUCAUCCUUCAAUGUUCUUAAAACUCCGAGAUGAUGUCCAAUUAAUCUGCUAUCCGUCGUCUUCUUCCUCCAGUUUAAGUAAGUCCUCGAAACACAACCUAUCAGCAUCAAUAAUCAUAUACUAGCUACGACUAAAGAUUACAAUUCACUCCUUCAAAAAUAUUAGCCAACUGAUAAAAUUUGGAGUGGUGGAAUUCAUCUUACUCCUCUUAGAAUACGAAUGAAAUCAAAUAAAGCUCCCGCUGAAUCUUUGUUUUUCUCUGUUUAUGGUAACAAGUUGUUGCGGGUUGAUUGGUGUUUAACAUUAUAGAGUAUUGAUGGAGGCGCUGCGGUAGUGCGGUGGUUGAGCGAGGUUGGUAGAGGCACUGCGGUGGUUGAAGCUGGUGGAAGCGCUACGGUGGUUGAAGCUGGUGGAAGCGCUACGGUGGUUGAAGCGGGUGGAAGCGCUACUGGUCGUUCGGGUUGGUGGGAACGCCGCUGGUGGUUCAGGUUGGUGGAAGCGUCGCGGUUGAAUUAGAUUACUGAGGUGGUUUUGAAUGUCAAUAACAAUUCAAGUAGGUGCUCUUCUGAAAUUGGUAGCAGUAGCACAUUGAUAAUUAUUAAGUUAGGUUAGAGAAUUGUAUCAAAAUUCACAAUGUAUUUGAGAUGUAAUUAAUUGAUUAUAAAGGACGAUAAAUUUUGUUUUAA
Chenopodium quinoa (quinoa) is the source of this 1025-nucleotide long non-coding RNA. RefSeq lists it as uncharacterized. The record is from RefSeq and is a predicted model, not a curated record. The transcript has 2 exons. Lineage: Eukaryota; Viridiplantae; Streptophyta; Magnoliopsida; Caryophyllales; Amaranthaceae.